UACGAAGGGGGCUAGCGUUGCUCGGAAUCACUGGGCGUAAAGGGUGCGUAGGCGGGGCUUUAAGUCAGGGGGGAAAUCCUGGAGCUCAACUCCAGAACUGCCUUUGAUACUGAAGAUCUUGAGUCCGGGAGAGGUGAGUGGAACUGCGAGUGUAGAGGUGAAAUUCGUAGAUAUUCGCAAGAACACCAGUGGCGAAGGCGGCUCACUGGACCGGCAUUGACGCUGAUGUGCGAAAGCGUGGGGAGCAAACAGG
Molecule: ribosomal RNA, 253 nt
Filed under: uncultured bacterium
Lineage: Bacteria
Description: partial 16S ribosomal RNA
Rfam family: Bacterial small subunit ribosomal RNA
Source: RNAcentral